Molecule: ribosomal RNA, 497 nt
Filed under: uncultured bacterium
Lineage: Bacteria
Description: partial 16S ribosomal RNA
Rfam family: Bacterial small subunit ribosomal RNA
Source: RNAcentral
GAUGAACGCUGGCGGCGUGCCUAAUACAUGCAAGUCGAGCGAACAGACGAGGAGCUUGCUCCUCUGACGUUAGCGGCGGACGGGUGAGUAACACGUGGAUAACCUACCUAUAAGACUGGGAUAACUUCGGGAAACCGGAGCUAAUACCGGAUAAUAUAUUGAACCGCAUGGUUCAAUAGUGAAAGACGGUUUUGCUGUCACUUAUAGAUGGAUCCGCGCCGCAUUAGCUGGUUGGUAAGGUAACGGCUUACCAAGGCAACGAGGCGUAGCCGACCUGAGAGGGGGGUCGCCCACCCUGGAACUGGGACGCGGUCCAGACUCCUGCGAGAGGCACCAGUAGGGAAUCUUCCGCAACGGGCGAGAGCCUUGCGGAGCGGCGCCACGUGAGAGAUGACGGUCUUCGGAUCGUAAAACUCUGUUACUGGGUAAGAACAACUGUGUAAGUAACUAUGCACGUCUUGACGGUACCUAAUCAGAAAGCCACGGCUAACUACGUG